Transfer RNA from Apaloderma vittatum (bar-tailed trogon), 82 nucleotides. It matches the Rfam family "tRNA". From Rfam's summary of the family: Transfer RNA (tRNA) molecules are approximately 80 nucleotides in length. Their secondary structure includes four short double-helical elements and three loops (D, anti-codon, and T loops). NCBI's taxonomy places the organism in Eukaryota, Metazoa, Chordata, Aves, Trogoniformes, Trogonidae. The record is from Rfam.
GGCCAGUUAGCUCAGCGGUUUGAGCACGGUGCUGACAACAAUGACAACAUCGAGGCCGCGGGUUCAAUUCCUGCUCAGUCCC